Molecule: long non-coding RNA, 484 nt
Filed under: Androctonus crassicauda
Lineage: Eukaryota; Metazoa; Arthropoda; Arachnida; Scorpiones; Buthidae
Source: RNAcentral
UAAUCUGUCGCCAAACUAUUGUUGAAUUAAGAAACUGUCAAAUUGCGGGACAAUUUUUUCCAUAUAAGACUAUGGAAAAUAAAUCAGUUCAUUGUCAGACUCCCAUUCCACUCCCUUAAUGGGUGAGAUGAGAUAGAUAUACUAUAUUAUUUAUUUUACUACAGUGGCGGCUCGUGGAUGAUUUUUGUAGGAAGGCUGAAAAAAUAAUACCUUUUAAAAUUUGUUAAACAUAAUAAGACACAAGUAUAUACAAGCUAAAAUAUUAGUGCGGACUGAAAUGUUUGCAGCCCACGAUAUACAUAUCACAAUAACGUAUAUCGCAGGUUACCUCCACCUGCUCAAUACACUGACUAUGUGGUGUGACUCAGUCUGCACUGACUGCAGCCCUGAUGAGUACACAAUCACACUGACUCAUACAAUACACACAUACAGAGCACCUAUUGAAGUACCUAGUACCUACAAUUCAAAAAUAAAUAUACUACGA